UCUCCUUUCUCUUUCUCCCACACCACACACAUUCCCACCACCGUCGCCUCCUGACCUGUCAGGCGAUUUGCUUGGCACCGCCGCUUCUCCCUCCACUGAUGACACCUCCCAAUGACUCCUAGCAUGUGGUGCUUACCCACGAUCCAAGCCCAAGGGCCGCAUAAAGAUAAGACAAGAUAAGAGGGAGGGAGAUGCACCUCGAGGAGAGCAGGUCAGGUGACAGCCAUGGCGCGCCCAUAUCCACCAGUGUCGUCGUCGUCAAGCUCCUCUUAUCCCAUUGCCUGAACCACCCCUGUCUCCAUCUCCACAACUGCACACCGGAUGUUCCUUCCAUGGAAGGUCCCCUUCGCCCCUCUAUUCCCCUGAACUGUUGGUUAGUUUUGAUUCAACCACUCUCCUCCCCGAUGUGUUAUUCUCAUGCACGCAGGUGAUGUAUGUGCUUGCUUCUUCCCUUCCCGGGACGCCAUUACUCCAACGCCAUGGAAAAAUAAAAUAUGGCGAGAACAAUAGGGUGAAGCAAGCUCAUCCAAUGAUGAACAAUAGCGGCUCUCAAAUAUUGUUAAAUGCGAGAGGAAGGUUUCAGGGGCUGAAAAGGCCAAGGGAAAACAUUCUGGAUUAAACCUAUAUUCAAAGCAAUGGGGUCAAAUGGAAAAAAGUAGCAAGUCGGAGAUGUUAUGGCUUUUGUACAUGCCAUGCAUGGCGACCUAUUUUCUUCAUAUGGAAGUUGGUGUUGUUUCCGUGAUCAAAGACUUGGUCUGUUUCAUAGGGUUUGUAUAGUGACUGAACACUUAGUCUCUUAUGAACUUAGCCCAUAUUUUUUAACAAGCUACCACUUGUAUAUUAACAUAUGUAUUUCCUUAGUGGUUGUAGCUAACUUGAGUGAAGUAAACUAAUGAAUCUUCUAUAUGUUGAAUACAAGUGCGCAAUUGUAUCUUAGUGGUUGUAUUCAUCAAUGGUGUCUUGUGAUGAAUACAAGAGCACAAUUGUUUGUAUAUGUAUUGUAUAGUGAACAUGAAUUGAAUAUUGUGGAUGUCAUUUCAUUCGAAA
Hordeum vulgare subsp. vulgare (domesticated barley) is the source of this 1047-nucleotide RNA transcript. RefSeq lists it as uncharacterized. The record is from RefSeq and is a predicted model, not a curated record. The transcript is spliced from 4 exons. NCBI's taxonomy places the organism in Eukaryota, Viridiplantae, Streptophyta, Magnoliopsida, Poales, Poaceae.